CCAAGGAGUCUAACAUGUGUGCGAGUCGUAGGGUUCGUCCGAAACCCGAAGGCGCAGUGAAAGUAGAGGUCGGAUAUCUCUCGGGAUGUUCGACCGAGGCGGGAUCCGUUCUGUUGUUUUCUUUUUAAUCUUUUAAAAGGUUUAAAGGGAUUCAAAAAUUUGAGAAACGAAACUAUUUGUUUCUUCCUUUUCUCCUUCGGGGGUUUAGGAGAAACAGUGUUUUUUUUUUUGGACGGCGCACCGCCGGCCCGUCUCAACCGCCGCGUCGGUGAGGCGGAGCAAGAGCACACACGUUGGGACCCGAAAGAUGGUGAACUAUUCCUAGGCAGGACGAAGCCAGAGGAAACUCUGGUGGAGGUCCGUAGCGUUUCUGACGUGCAAAUCGAUCGUCAGACCUGGGUAUAGGGGCGAAAGACUAAUCGAACCAUCUAGUAGCUGGUUCCCUCCGAAGUUUCCCUCAGGAUAGCUGGCUCUCGAGACACACAGUCUCAUCCGGUAAAGCGAAUGAUUAGAGGCCUUGGGGCCGAAACGACCUCAACCUAUUCUCAAACUUUCAAUGGGUGAGAAGUCCGGCUUGCUCGACUGAAGCCCGGACGUCGGAUGCGAGUGCCCAGUGGGCCACUUUUG
This 627-nucleotide ribosomal RNA is filed under the name Dendrothereua sp. MCZ IZ-89420. RNAcentral describes it as "eukaryotic LSU rRNA". It matches the Rfam family "Eukaryotic large subunit ribosomal RNA", at positions 666 to 1139 of the family's 3401-position model. The record is from RNAcentral. Lineage: Eukaryota; Metazoa; Arthropoda; Chilopoda; Scutigeromorpha; Scutigeridae.